UACGUAGGGACCGAGCGUUGUCCGGAAUCAUUGGGCGUAAAGAGCGUGUAGGCGGCUGACCAAGUCCUGCGUGAAAUCUUGCGGCUCAACCGCAAGCGGUCGUGGGAAACUGGUCGGCUAGAGUGCGGGAGAGGAGAGUGGAAUUCCUGGUGUAGCGGUGAAAUGCGCAGAUAUCAGGAGGAACACCAAUGGCGAAGGCAGCUCGCUGGGACGUGACUGACGCUGAGACGCGAAAGCGUGGGGAGCGAACAGG
This 253-nucleotide ribosomal RNA is filed under the name uncultured bacterium. RNAcentral describes it as "partial 16S ribosomal RNA". It matches the Rfam family "Bacterial small subunit ribosomal RNA", at positions 524 to 776 of the family's 1533-position model. The record is from RNAcentral.